UGGGGAAUAUUGCACAAUGGGCGGAAGCCUGAUGCAGCGACGCCGCGUGGGGGAUGAAGGCCUUCGGGUUGUAAACUCCUUUCGACAGGGACGAAGCUUUUGUGACGGUACCUGUAUAAGAAGCACCGGCUAACUACGUGCCAGCAGCCGCGGUAAUACGUAGGGUGCGAGCGUUGUCCGGAAUUACUGGGCGUACAGAGCUCGUAGGUGGUUUGUCGCGUCGUCUGUGAAAUUCCGGGGCUUAACUCCGGGCGUGCAGGCGAUCAGGGCUGACCUGAGUGCUGUGGGGGAGACUGGAAUUCCUGGUGUAGCGGUGAAAUGCGCAGAUAUCAGGAGGAACACCGAUGGCGAAGGGAGGUCUCUGGGCAGUAACUGACGCUGAGGAGCGAAAGCAUGGGUAGCGAAGAGG
RNAcentral lists this ribosomal RNA (409 nucleotides) under bacterium. RNAcentral describes it as "partial 16S ribosomal RNA". It matches the Rfam family "Bacterial small subunit ribosomal RNA", at positions 355 to 776 of the family's 1533-position model. The record is from RNAcentral.